CAACCGAACCUACGAAGAUCCACCGGGUCAGUAACCAACCCACCAAUCCAAAAUACAUGAUUUACGAACCCCACACAAAUUCCCGAAAUCGAUUUUCCAAAAUCGAUCACCGUAACUCGCCGAAAGUCCUAAAAAUCACACGGGGACUCCGUCGGGACCCACUAAGUGUCCCGAAACUCAUUGACUCGUGCCAUGAGUCACCCACUGCCACAAAACACACCGAUUUGGAUGUCUUGGCAGCAAACACAAGGUUACACAACUAAACAUUUAUCGCCGGAUAAUUAUUCGGAUCCGGGCUCCCGGAGCCGGAACCCACCGUCGCUCAUCCGUCAUCUCCGAACUCACGAUAUGACGAUAGUGACUAGCCAACAAGGCACA
RNAcentral lists this long non-coding RNA (378 nucleotides) under Ananas comosus (pineapple). RNAcentral's name for it is "long non-coding RNA (ACOM_LNC008967)". The record is from RNAcentral. Lineage: Eukaryota; Viridiplantae; Streptophyta; Magnoliopsida; Poales; Bromeliaceae.